RNAcentral lists this long non-coding RNA (1884 nucleotides) under Taeniopygia guttata (zebra finch). RNAcentral describes it as "lncRNA (ENSTGUG00000019218.1)". Lineage: Eukaryota; Metazoa; Chordata; Aves; Passeriformes; Estrildidae. The record is from RNAcentral.
AAGUUAAGUUGGCAUCAUCUCUGGGUCAUUUUAUUAAGUACUGUUCAUCUAGGCAUUAUUGCCAAUAUCCACUUUUUCUCCCCAAAGUAGUAGUUAUGUACCGAAGAAAAGCCACUGAGAUUUAUGGUAGGAGAAGAAAAGCAUAGGCUAGCCUACAGGGAGUAGCAGCAUCUUCUUUUUCUAAAACUCCAUCUGCAUUAUUUUGAAACUUUGAAACUUUUGAGAAUUUUUCCCCCAAAGGGGUUGUGAAGCAGUGGAACAGACUGCCCAGGGAAGCAGUGGAGUUAUCAUCCCUAGAGGUUUUAAAAAGCCUUGUGGUGCAGAGUGAGAUGAUUUAGACUGGGACUUGGCAGUGCUGAGUUAAUUGUUGGACUUUAUGACCUUCAAAGUCUUUUUCCAACCUAAAUGAUCCAUGAAAUGUCGUUUUAAAUGGCUUAAAAAUAUCCUUCAUUUCUCAGUUGUAAAAGAGAUGGAUUCCAUGUAGAUUUGUCCUUCCUUCAAGCAGCAUUGCUUUCAAGACAAUUGCUUUCAAAACAAUUCCAUUGUUUUCAAGCACGGCAAAGGAAAAAAAAAAACAAAAUAAAAAUAAUAGUUCGAACAUUACUGAAGGCAGCUCACUCAUCCAGAAAUCGGCUAUAAAAGCCCCAUUUAGUACAAGAACCACAGUGUGUUAGCAAGAACGCUAUUGAGCUUCAAAGCUUAACAAUCAGAUAGCUGAUAGUUACUGAGGUGCCUCAGCAGGAAGUAGAUGCCAUAUUCAGAGACAGAUUUCCCAGAUUUAGGAAAAGGAAAGUCCACACUACAGCCUUCAUAGUUGUAGUUCUGUACUUCCUGUGAAACAAGGCCUUUUCUCCACUGGAAACAUUUUACUGGAGCUGUGCUCAUUCAGAACAGGGUUCAUGUCAGUCUUCUCUGGGAGCUAUUUUCAGCAAUAACCUGCUAGCUUUAGAGUCUCUGCUUUAUUCUAAGUGUAAUCCUGUUGCUUUAAACACUAGCAAGUCCUGCAAAAAUCAUAUUUGAAAACAGGAAAUUGAGUUGUAAGUGGUGUGUAAUAAGGGCAUAGGACAUAAAAACAAAAGAUGUUUCCUUGCACUCUUCCUACACAAUUUGUAUUCUUUAAAUGGUCAACCCAUUCACUCUUCUUCCUAUUUGUAAGGUGAAGAAGGGGUGAAUUAAUCAGCAUUUUAGUGGCUGAAGAAUGUAUCAGCAGGUCUCUAACCUGGAACACAGAUGUGUUGGAUACAAAGCAUGUUAAUUUCAGGAAAAUCCAGUUAGGCAUGUGUGGAAUCCACUCUUUUCAUCUCAAUUAGGAACUUCCUGCAGAGCAUAUUUGAAAUCCAGCAAAGGGCUUGAACCUGGUACCUCUGCAUUUUAUAUGCUUCCUCUAAAACCAUUCAGCCAUUAGUUACCAUCUUUUGAAGAUAGCUGAAAUACAACUUUUAAGUACUCUCAAAGGUUCAGAAUUGUAAUUCCGUCUCUAAAAAAUAGAGAUUGAAACCAUACCUAUUCAAAUCCUUAACAAAUCUUUCACUGGGAGAACAGCUGGGGUUGCAACACUCUCCCAACUGAGGACAAAAAGAAGAUGGAGCAAACAUAGCUUAGCUACACUUAAGGAGUUGGUCCUCUCAGCUCAAAGCCUGCUAGCACUUCACUGGCCAAUGAGUAAAGAAAUGACUUUUUGUGAAGGCAAAAAGCAUAGGAAGGUUCAGCCUAUUAGCAACACAUGGCAUCAGCUUAGCAUAACACCACCGUUUGCAUGUAGCAACUUUAUUGGCAGAAAAAUAGGGUUUUUUCUUAUUUCCUGUGAUGUAGCUACUUAAUACUGUAAUUACUGAACUGGAAGUUCACAUCAGCAAUUAGCAGAAAAAAAAAAAAAAAAAAAAA